CCUACGGGAGGCAGCAGUGGGGGAUAUUGCACAAUGGGGGGAACCCUGAUGCAGCGACGCCGCGUGUGGGAAGACGGUCCUCUGGAUUGUAAACCACUGUCCCCAGGGACGAAAAUGACGGUACCUGGGGAGGAAGCUCCGGCUAACCACGUGCCAGCAGCCGCGGUAAUACGGAGGGAGCGAGCGUUGUCCGGAAUUACUGGGGGUAAAGGGAGGGGAGGCGGGGAUGCAAGUUGGGUGUCAAAACUACCGGCUCAACUGGUAGUCGCACUCAAAACUGCAGCUCUUGAGUGAAGUAGAGGCAGGCGGAAUUCCUAGUGUAGCGGUGAAAUGCGUAGAUAUUAGGAGGAACACCAGUGGCGAAGGCGGCCUGCUGGGCUUUUACUGACGCUGAGGCUCGAAAGUGUGGGGAGCAAACAGGAUUAGAUACCCCUGUAGUC
This 440-nucleotide ribosomal RNA is filed under the name uncultured bacterium. RNAcentral describes it as "partial 16S ribosomal RNA". It matches the Rfam family "Bacterial small subunit ribosomal RNA", at positions 338 to 795 of the family's 1533-position model. The record is from RNAcentral.